ACAACGAAGAGUUUGAUCCUGGCUCAGGAUGAACGCUAGCGACAGGCUUAACACAUGCAAGUCGAGGGGCAGCACAGGUAGCAAUACCGGGUGGCGACCGGCGCACGGGUGAGUAACGCGUAUGCAACUUGCCUAUCAGAGGGGGAUAACCCGGCGAAAGUCGGACUAAUACCGCAUGAAGCAGGGAUCCCGCAUGGGAAUAUUUGCUAAAGAUUCAUCGCUGAUAGAUAGGCAUGCGUUCCAUUAGGCAGUUGGCGGGGUAACGGCCCACCAAACCGACGAUGGAUAGGGGUUCUGAGAGGAAGGUCCCCCACAUUGGUACUGAGACACGGACCAAACUCCUACGGGAGGCAGCAGUGAGGAAUAUUGGUCAAUGGGCGUAAGCCUGAACCAGCCAAGUCGCGUGAGGGAUGAAGGUUCUAUGGAUCGUAAACCUCUUUUAUAAGGGAAUAAAGUGCGGGACGUGUCCCGUUUUGUAUGUACCUUAUGAAUAAGGAUCGGCUAACUCCGUGCCAGCAGCCGCGGUAAUACGGAGGAUCCGAGCGUUAUCCGGAUUUAUUGGGUUUAAAGGGUGCGUAGGCGGCCUUUUAAGUCAGCGGUGAAAGUCUGUGGCUCAACCAUAGAAUUGCCGUUGAAACUGGGGGGCUUGAGUAUGUUUGAGGCAGGCGGAAUGCGUGGUGUAGCGGUGAAAUGCAUAGAUAUCACGCAGAACCCCGAUUGCGAAGGCAGCCUGCCAAGCCAUUACUGACGCUGAUGCACGAAAGCGUGGGGAUCAAACAGGAUUAGAUACCCUGGUAGUCCACGCAGUAAACGAUGAUCACUAGCUGUUUGCGAUACACUGUAAGCGGCACAGCGAAAGCGUUAAGUGAUCCACCUGGGGAGUACGCCGGCAACGGUGAAACUCAAAGGAAUUGACGGGGGCCCGCACAAGCGGAGGAACAUGUGGUUUAAUUCGAUGAUACGCGAGGAACCUUACCCGGGUUUGAACGCAUUCGGACCGAGGUGGAAACACCUUUUCUAGCAAUAGCCGUUUGCGAGGUGCUGCAUGGUUGUCGUCAGCUCGUGCCGUGAGGUGUCGGCUUAAGUGCCAUAACGAGCGCAACCCUUGCCACUAGUUACUAACAGGUAAAGCUGAGGACUCUGGUGGGACUGCCAGCGUAAGCUGCGAGGAAGGCGGGGAUGACGUCAAAUCAGCACGGCCCUUACAUCCGGGGCGACACACGUGUUACAAUGGCGUGGACAAAGGGAAGCCACCUGGCGACAGGGAGCGAAUCCCCAAACCACGUCUCAGUUCGGAUCGGAGUCUGCAACCCGACUCCGUGAAGCUGGAUUCGCUAGUAAUCGCGCAUCAGCCAUGGCGCGGUGAAUACGUUCCCGGGCCUUGUACACACCGCCCGUCAAGCCAUGGGAGCCGGGGGUACCUGAAGUCCGUAACCGCGAGGAUCGGCCUAGGGUAAAACUGGUGACUGGGGCUAAGUCGUAACAAGGUAGCCGUACCGGAAGGUGCGGCUGGAACACCUCCUUU
This 1525-nucleotide ribosomal RNA is filed under the name Parabacteroides distasonis. Its description in RNAcentral is "bacterial SSU rRNA". It matches the Rfam family "Bacterial small subunit ribosomal RNA". The record is from RNAcentral. Lineage: Bacteria; Pseudomonadati; Bacteroidota; Bacteroidia; Bacteroidales; Tannerellaceae.